UCCAAAACAAUCCAGGUCAAAACACAGGAAAACACAUGACCUUUCUUUCCGUCGAAAUUCAUCUGUAAUUCAGUUUUGGUUAGAAAUGAGGGAAUUAGUUGAAACUCAAAUUGAAAUCCAAAUGAAAAUUCAUUUUCCUUCUUUUGAAAUGCACUCUUUGUUAACUUAAGUUUCUUUGCUAGCUGGUUGGAAUCAUGCUGCAGAAUUACUGGUCGUGGGCUUGUGGUUGGCAUAAAGGUUGAAUGGUCAAAACCGACUUGGCUAGGCAAUGCUUGAAUUUGCAGCUGACUUGGCAUGCUUUAAGGUUGUUUGUAUAUGCUUUAGGUGUUGUAAUGUCAUAUACCUAGAUUGCAAAUGGCUAUGGACAUAAUCAUGUAUUGGUUUAUGCUUUAUAUAUGGAUUUUUGGAAAUUGUAUUGUAAUUUGGUUGUGAUGAACAUGAAGUAUGUUGUAAAAAUGGUUGAAAUUGAAUGUAUUGGAUAAAAAAUGUGAAUUGGAUGUACGAGGUAAUGGUUAAAUGUGAUAUGAGGUUGGCUAUGUUAACGUUGAUUAAAUGGAAAUGUGUGGAAAUUGAAAUAGA
Molecule: long non-coding RNA, 579 nt
Organism: Lathyrus oleraceus (garden pea)
Lineage: Eukaryota; Viridiplantae; Streptophyta; Magnoliopsida; Fabales; Fabaceae
Exons: 2
Source: RefSeq, a predicted model, not a curated record